UUUGGCGAAGCUAGAUGUGUUUCAAUUCAAUUUAAUUAAUUAUGUCAACUGAAACCCACAAAAUAAUUAAUUGUCCGUCUUAAUUAUGUCAAUUUUUUUUUUUUUGAGAAUUUUUUCUCCUAACAUACUCUUUAAUGGAAAGAGGACAUUGCAAAUAUAGAAAAGGAAUUUUGUUUCUCCUAACAUACUCUUUAUUGGUUUAUUUAUUUUAAUUGGGCCUUAUGAUAUUUUGAUAUUUCGAGCCCAGCGUUUUUUUAUUAUUUAAUUGGACUCUUUUUAUUAUUUCUUUGGGCCCAAAAUCAUUUUUAUUUAUUGAGCCCAA
RNAcentral lists this long non-coding RNA (322 nucleotides) under Salvia miltiorrhiza (redroot sage). RNAcentral describes it as "long non-coding RNA (SMIL_LNC010058)". Lineage: Eukaryota; Viridiplantae; Streptophyta; Magnoliopsida; Lamiales; Lamiaceae. The record is from RNAcentral.